This 468-nucleotide ribosomal RNA is filed under the name uncultured Desulfobulbus sp. Its description in RNAcentral is "bacterial SSU rRNA". It matches the Rfam family "Bacterial small subunit ribosomal RNA", at positions 920 to 1382 of the family's 1533-position model. Lineage: Bacteria; Pseudomonadati; Thermodesulfobacteriota; Desulfobulbia; Desulfobulbales; Desulfobulbaceae. The record is from RNAcentral.
CCCGGCACAAGCGGUGGAGUAUGUGGUUUAAUUCGAUGCAACGCGAAGAACCUUACCUGGUCUUGACAUCCCGGAGACCCUUAGGAAACUAGGGGUGCUUCCAUCUGGAAGAAUCUGGAGACAGGUGCUGCAUGGCUGUCGUCAGCUCGUGUCGUGAGAUGUUGGGUUAAGUCCCGCAACGAGCGCAACCCUUGCCUUUAGUUGCCAGCAGUUCGGCUGGGCACUCUAAAGGGACUGCCGGUGUUAAACCGGAGGAAGGUGGGGAUGACGUCAAGUCCUCAUGGCCUUUAUGACCAGGGCUACACACGUACUACAAUGGCCGAUACAAAGGGCAGCGACACUGCGAGGUGAAGCCAAUCCCGUAAAAUCGGUCUCAGUCCGGAUUGGAGUCUGCAACUCGACUCCAUGAAGUUGGAAUCGCUAGUAAUCGUGGAUCCGCAUGCCACGGUGAAUACGUUCCCGGGCCUU